RNAcentral lists this transfer RNA (69 nucleotides) under Ictidomys tridecemlineatus (thirteen-lined ground squirrel). RNAcentral describes it as "Spermophilus tridecemlineatus (thirteen-lined ground squirrel) tRNA". It matches the Rfam family "tRNA". Rfam says of the family: Transfer RNA (tRNA) molecules are approximately 80 nucleotides in length. Their secondary structure includes four short double-helical elements and three loops (D, anti-codon, and T loops). Lineage: Eukaryota; Metazoa; Chordata; Mammalia; Rodentia; Sciuridae. The record is from Rfam by way of RNAcentral.
GGGGUUGUGGCUCAGUGGUGAAGUGCUUGCCUAGCAUGCGUGAGGCACUGGGUUCGAACCCCAGCACCA